AUGAACGCUGGCGGCGUGCCUCAUACAUGCAAGUCGAGCGAACAGACGAGGAGCUUGCUCCUCUGACGUUAGCGGCGGACGGGUGAGUAACACGUGGAUAACCUACCUAUAAGACUGGGAUAACUUCGGGAAACCGGAGCUAAUACCGGAUAAUAUAUUGAACCGCAUGGUUCAAUAGUGAAAGACGGUUUUGCUGUCACUUAUAGAUGGAUCCGCGCCGCAUUAGCUAGUUGGUAAGGUAACGGCUUACCAAGGCAACGAUGCGUAGCCGACCUGGGAGGGAGGGCGGCCAACAUGGAACGGAGAGCCCGUCCAGACUCCCGCGGAGGGGAGCAAUAGGGGAUCUUCCGGAAAGGGCGAAGGCCUAGGGGGUCAACGCCGCGGGGGUAGAGGAGGUCUUCGGAUCGUAAAACACUUUAUUUUGGGAAGAACAAUUGUGUAAGUACAUGUGGAGGUGUUGGGGUUACCUAAACGAAAAACCGCGGCGAACUCCGA
Molecule: ribosomal RNA, 495 nt
Filed under: uncultured bacterium
Lineage: Bacteria
Description: partial 16S ribosomal RNA
Rfam family: Bacterial small subunit ribosomal RNA
Source: RNAcentral